RNAcentral lists this ribosomal RNA (2235 nucleotides) under Triticum aestivum (bread wheat). Its description in RNAcentral is "partial small subunit ribosomal RNA". The record is from RNAcentral. Lineage: Eukaryota; Viridiplantae; Streptophyta; Magnoliopsida; Poales; Poaceae.
AUGGGCUCCUCCUCCUACCUCCCCCACGACAUGGAUUUCUCCCCCUACCUCCCCGCCGACAUGGGCUCCCCCACCGCCGACGACCCCUCCCUCAACCUCUACCUCUCCGACCUCAUCCCCGGCUCGCCCUCCGAAUACCUCGACCUCCCCCUGACCCCGCACCACGAGCAGGAGCACCAGAAACCCUCCCCCGACGGCCACGGCGGCGGGGGCGGCGGCGGCGGCGGCGGCGACUCCCCCUCCUCCACGCCGGAGGACCUCGUGCUGCCCUUCAUCUCCCGCAUACUCAUGGAGGAGGACAUCGACGACAAGUUCUUCUACGACUUCCCCGACAACCCCGCGCUCAUCGAGGCGCAGCAGCCCUUCCUCGAGAUCCUCUCCGAUCCCUCCUCCAACUCCACCUCCGACGACAGCAACAACCGCGCCGUCUCCCCGUGCUCCCCCUCCGACGCCUCCGUCGGCACCGCCGCCCAGCUGCCCCCCACGCCCGCCGCCGUUGACUCCUACGACCGCUUCCAGUUCGAGCCCGUCGACCUCGAUCCCGCCGCCUUCUUCGGCGGCGGCGCCAACUCCGACCUCAUGAGCUCCGCCUUCCUCAAGGGGAUGCAGGAGGCCAACAAGUUCCUGCCCAGUCAGGACAAGCUCGUCAUCGACCUGGAGGCCUCCUCUGGCCAGUUCUUCAAGGGCGUCGAGGAGGGCAACAAGUUCCUGCCCAGGGAGGACAAACUCGUUGUUGGAUUCAAUGGCCACGCAGCUCCUGCGUCGGCCCCAGCUGUGCUCAGCCUGAAAAAGGAGGAGGUGGUGGAUGCGGUCUCGGCCAACUCUGGUGGCGGCCGAGGUCGGAAGAACCCCUACCAUGAUGACGAGCUGGAGCAGGAGGGUGGCAGGAGCAGCAAGCAGAGUGCGCUGGGAGACGACGUCUCUGCACGGGAGAUGUUCGACAGGAUGCUGAUGCCCUCAGACGAGAUGUGCAUCGUGCAGAUGCAGAACCUGCGGAUCGCCAUGCAGGAGGCGGUGGCCAAGAAUGAUGGCGGCGGUGGGAAGGGGGCCAAUGGCAAGGGGAGGGGCCGGCGUGGUGGUUCCGAUGUGGUGGACCUGCGCACGCUGCUCAUCCAUUGCGCGCAGGCUGUUGCCACGGAUGACCGCCGGAGCGCUACAGAGCUGCUGAAGCAGAUCAAGCUGCAUGCUCGCCCUGAUGGCGAUGGGACUCAGCGCCUCGCUCAUUGCUUUGCAGAGGGCCUGCAGGCGCGGCUGGCGGGCACAGGUGGCCUCGUACACCAGUCGCUCAUGGCAACACGCAUCUCAGCUGUGGACAUGCUCAAAGCUUACCAGCUGUACAUGGCAGCCAUCUGUUUCAAGAAGGUGUCUUUCCUAUUCUCAAAUAGUACAAUCUAUAAUGCCUCCUUGGGGAAGAAGAAGAUACAUAUCAUCGAUUAUGGUAUACAAUAUGGGUUCCAGUGGCCGUGCUUUCUGCGACGGAUAUCAACAAGGCCUGGAGGGCCGCCAGAUGUAAGGAUCACUGGUAUCGAUCUCCCUCAGCCUGGGUUCCGGCCAAGAGAGCGGAUUGAAGAGACAGGGCGCAGGCUCAAGAAGUAUGCCAAUGAGUUUAAUGUGCCGUUCGAGUACCGGGCCAUCGCGACGGCAAAGAUGGAGUCGCUCCGCAAAGAGGAUUUGAAGAUUGAUCCUGAUGAGGUACUCAUUGUUAACUCCUUGUUUCAAUUCAAGAACUUGAUGGACGAGAGCGUUGUGCUUGAGAGCCCAAGGGAUGUUGUGCUCAAGAACAUCAGGAAGAUGCGGCCCCACACAUUCAUCCAUGCAAUCGUGAAUGGCUCAUUCAGUGCCCCAUUCUUCGUGACACGGUUUCGGGAGGUUCUGUUCUACUACUCAGCCCUUUUUGAUGUUCUGGACACAACCACCCCAAGGGAUAACGAACAGAGGAUGCUGAUUGAGCAGAACAUCCUUGGGCGUGCUGCCCUGAAUGUCAUUGCCUGUGAGGGUACAGAUAGGGUGGAGCGUCCUGAGACGUAUAAGCAAUGGCAGGUAAGGAAUCAACGGGCAGGUUUGAAGCUGCUGCCAUUGAAUCCAGAGGUCAUUGAGCUAGCGAGAGACAAGGUCAAGAACUGCUACCACAAGGACUUUGUGAUUGAUAUAGAUCAGCACUGGCUCUUGCAAGGAUGGAAAGGGCGCAUCCUCUAUGCCAUCUCGACAUGGACGGCAAACGAUGCUAGCUCAUAA